This 519-nucleotide ribosomal RNA is filed under the name uncultured eukaryote. RNAcentral describes it as "SSU rRNA". It matches the Rfam family "Eukaryotic small subunit ribosomal RNA", at positions 1161 to 1699 of the family's 1831-position model. The record is from RNAcentral.
AGGGCACCACCAGGAGUGGAGCCUGCGGCUUAAUUUGACUCAACACGGGAAAACUCACCCGGCCCGGACACUGGAAGGAUUGACAGAUUGAGAGCUCUUUCUUGAUUCAGUGGGUGGUGGUGCAUGGCCGUUCUUAGUUGGUGGAGUGAUUUGUCUGGUUAAUUCCGAUAACGAACGAGACUCUAGCCUACUAAAUAGGUCGUCGGCUUACAAACGCCGGCGAGACUUCUUAGAGGGACAGGCGGUGAUUCAACCGCACGAAACAGAGCAAUAACAGGUCUGUGAUGCCCUUAGAUGUCCGGGGCCGCACGCGCGCUACACUGAAGUGAUCAGCGUGCUUUUUCAACCUACUCUGUCAAGAGUGGGGAACCCAAUGAACCUUCUUCGUGAUUGGGAUAGGGGAUUGUAAUUGUUCCCCUUGAACGAGGAAUUCCCAGUAAGCGCGAGUCAUAAGCUCGCGUUGAUUACGUCCCUGCCCUUUGUACACACCGCCCGUCGCUACUACCGAUUGAAUGUUUU